This 29-nucleotide non-coding RNA is filed under the name Mus musculus (house mouse). The record is from RNAcentral. Lineage: Eukaryota; Metazoa; Chordata; Mammalia; Rodentia; Muridae.
UGUCAAGUAGGUGAGCUGUAUUUACAUGA